UUAAACAUGAGAGUUUGAUCCUGGCUCAGAAUCAACGCUGGCGGCGUGCCUAACACAUGCAAGUCGAACGCGAAAGCGGCUUCGGCCGCAAGUAGAGUGGCAAACGGGUGAGUAACGCGUGGGUGACCUACCUUCGAGUGGGGGAUAACGUUCCGAAAGGGGCGCUAAUACCCCAUAACAUCCUGUCUUUGGAAAGACGGUGAUCAAAGCUGGGGAUCGUAAGACCUGGCGCUUGUUGAGGGGCCCGCGUCCGAUUAGCUUGUUGGUGGGGUAAUGGCCCACCAAGGCGACAAUCGGUAGCCGGCCUGAGAGGGCGAUCGGCCACAUUGGGACUGAGACACGGCCCAGACUCCUACGGGAGGCAGCAGUGGGGAAUUGUUCGCAAUGGGCGCAAGCCUGACGACGCAACGCCGCGUGG
RNAcentral lists this ribosomal RNA (418 nucleotides) under Acidobacteriota bacterium. RNAcentral describes it as "bacterial SSU rRNA". It matches the Rfam family "Bacterial small subunit ribosomal RNA", at positions 1 to 404 of the family's 1533-position model. The record is from RNAcentral. Lineage: Bacteria; Pseudomonadati; Acidobacteriota.